UACAUUUUCUGGAUGCAGUUUUUGCGUUCUUAUUCGCUCUUUAGGGAAGAAAGUGUUGUAGAAGCAAUAACGUCUAAAGCUGACUUGGCCAUUCUAAACUUUAUCCUUGUGACUUAAUGCCAUGUUAAUUGUGUGGUCGUCAUGUGCUGUCGCCAUUUUCUGUGUCAAAAUUAUCAGGUACCACUUUUCGGUUAGAGUCAAAUUCUUUCCUCUCGAGGGGAGGGUCAGGAGAAUUGGCCAGAGUAGUUGAAUGGAGUUUAUUUUAGCUCUGCUUUUUCUUUUAUUCCUAUUUGAAUUUUUCUGAUGUAAAUGUAGGGUAACCAAUGAUUAACAUUCAGUAAAUGGUGUAGCAAUCUGGCAGAUAUUUACACCGGCAAAUAUGUUUUCCUCAAAUUAUCUUUUAUAGGUGGUUUGCAACCAAUCACUGGAAACACGGGUAACAAUGGUGAAAGGAACAAAUGCUGGUGGACAAACAAAAGAAGCUAAUGAGAUAUCUGUUGUUCACGUCUACCAACAUGGCGGCAGUGACGUAGCGUGCAAACCACCUACAGAUAGACAAUGAUUUGUUUGAAGAUUGCAGUAAUGGAAGAACCAUUAAUUUUGUGAUGUCUUCGGGAAUUGAAAGUUUCAAGCCGAUAUGUUGAUGUACUCAUUUCAGAAGCACAGCAAGAAUCUGGAGACAAAUAUUAUCAACCUUGGACAGAACGGGGCCGAUAGUCAAGAAGUAAAGCAAGAGACCAGAGAAAAAUAUCAACCUUGGACAGAACGCAAAAAUUUUUUGAAGCAUUUGUAAAAGCUGUCUACCUCGCGGUAACAUCUUGGAAUACCCAUGUGUAUUAAGACAGACGUUUGGUAACAUUAAACGCAUGCGUUUGAAAUAAAGGUUUGAACCAUAAAGUAGAUAACCCUUUCAAAGAUAUAAGAAAUGUGUAGGCUAGAGGAGGGUGUGGUGGGGGAGGCUGGACGGGGAAAAAAAACUUUCUCAAGUAAGGUAAUAUUACUGUAUUAUGAGAGUGUAAGAACAAUAGUGAUAUCACUAUUGAAAUAUUAAAAUAUAUAUUGUAGUACUGAACUGUAUUAAAAGAUGUUUGUACCACAGAGUAGGUGUCUUCUGUCAAGAGUUCUAAAACUGCCUAAGAGUGGCGGCUAAGGGGAGGGGUGGAAGACGGUUCUUUUUUAAGGUAGAUGAGUGUUAUACACUGUCCAAGUGCUUAAGUAAAUGAGUGCUAUAGAAAUGACGGUAUUAUAGAGGCGGGUGUGGUUGGGGAUGGUGGACGGAUCAACCCCAAUUUUUCAUUUUAUUUUCUGUAUAAGGGGUCGAUCCAAUUUUGCUUUCUUUCCAAGAUUGAAAUUUGUCUCUAGUCUUAUUAUUAAGGUGAUCGUGAUCCUUGGUAUCCAGCUUUGGGUGGUCGAAGAAACC
This is a long non-coding RNA of Stylophora pistillata, 1420 nucleotides long. Lineage: Eukaryota; Metazoa; Cnidaria; Anthozoa; Scleractinia; Pocilloporidae. The record is from RefSeq and is a predicted model, not a curated record.